AUUGAACGCUGGCGGCAGGCCUAACACAUGCAAGUCGAGCGGAUGAAGGGAGCUUGCUCCUGGAUUCAGCGGCGGACGGGUGAGUAAUGCCUAGGAAUCUGCCUGGUAGUGGGGGAUAACGUCCGGAAACGGGCGCUAAUACCGCAUACGUCCUGAGGGAGAAAGUGGGGAACUUCGGGCCCCACCCCAUUCGCAUAGCCUAGGUCGGAUUAGCUAGUUGGUGGGGUAAAGGCCUACCAAGGCGACGAUCCGUAACUGGUCUGAGAGGAUGAUCAGUCACACUGGAACUGAGACACGGUCCAGACUCCUACGGGAGGCAGCAGUGGGGAAUAUUGGACAAUGGGCGAAAGCCUGAUCCAGCCAUGCCGCGUGUGUGAAGAAGGUCUUCGGAUUGUAAAGCACUUUAAGUUGGGAGGAAGGGCAGUAAGUUAAUACCUUGCUGUUUUGACGUUACCAACAGAAUAAGCACCGGCUAACUUCGUG
This 483-nucleotide ribosomal RNA is filed under the name uncultured bacterium. RNAcentral describes it as "partial 16S ribosomal RNA". It matches the Rfam family "Bacterial small subunit ribosomal RNA", at positions 30 to 507 of the family's 1533-position model. The record is from RNAcentral.